Molecule: unclassified non-coding RNA, 524 nt
Filed under: Hevea brasiliensis (rubber tree)
Lineage: Eukaryota; Viridiplantae; Streptophyta; Magnoliopsida; Malpighiales; Euphorbiaceae
Source: RNAcentral
AUGAUCCACCAUUCAUAUACAUCAUCAUAUUACCAGGAAGAACUGGUGUCUCUGAAUAUGAACCCGGCAUAUAUAUCAUUGGUGCAGCAUCUCUUUGUUUAUUUGAACUAGCAUAAUAAUUAGCCAUAUCUAUCUUUAGAUUUUCCGGCCUGAUUACUUGAGUCAGAUUACAUAAUCAUCCAAGGAACUGGAAACCAGUAACACUUGUGGUUGUUAUAGCGAACAUAAAACCUCAAAGACACCAUUCGAUUCGCUGAUACACAAAUCCGAUCCCAUUACAACAAAAUAACAACACAACACUUCCUUUUCAUUACACCCCCCUAUUGACCUAUGCAUACAAUUGCAAAGGACAAACAGCAAGAAAGAAAAAAAGAUAAAUCCUUUCUCUUCUUUUUGUUUCUAAAAAGAAAAGAGAGUGAUAAUUAGAUUUGAAAGUAGCAAUGAAUUUCCUCACUUUUGAUCUUCUUCUCUCAUCAUUUAUUCUCUAGCCAUCAUUCCAUCAAAACGCCACGUGAGCAUCUCUC